Molecule: ribosomal RNA, 756 nt
Filed under: uncultured Acinetobacter sp.
Lineage: Bacteria; Pseudomonadati; Pseudomonadota; Gammaproteobacteria; Moraxellales; Moraxellaceae
Description: bacterial SSU rRNA
Rfam family: Bacterial small subunit ribosomal RNA
Source: RNAcentral
AUUGAACGCUGGCGGCAGGCUUAACGCAUGCAAGUCGAGCGGGCGAGGUUGCUUCGGUAACUGAGCUAGCGGCGGACGGGUGAGUAAAGCUUAGGAAUCUGCCUAUUAGUGGGGGACAACAUUUCGAAAGGGAUGCUAAUACCGCAUACGUCCUACGGGAGAAAGCAGGGGAUCACUUGUGACCUUGCGCUAAUAGAUGAGCCUAAGUCGGAUUAGCUAGUUGGUGGGGUAAAGGCCUACCAAGGCGACGAUCUGUAGCGGGUCUGAGAGGAUGAUCCGCCACACUGGGACUGAGACACGGCCCAGACUCCUACGGGAGGCAGCAGUGGGGAAUAUUGGACAAUGGGGGGAACCCUGAUCCAGCCAUGCCGCGUGUGUGAAGAAGGCCUUUUGGUUGUAAAGCACUUUAAGUGGGGAGGAGGCUCUCUUGGUUAAUACCUGAGAAGAGUGGACGUUACCCACAGAAUAAGCACCGGCUAACUCUGUGCCAGCAGCCGCGGUAAUACAGAGGGUGCGAGCGUUAAUCGGAUUUACUGGGCGUAAAGCGCGCGUAGGUGGUUAAUUAAGUCAAAUGUGAAAUCCCCGAGCUUAACUUGGGAAUUGCAUUCGAUACUGGUUAGCUAGAGUAUGGGAGAGGAUGGUAGAAUUCCAGGUGUAGCGGUGAAAUGCGUAGAGAUCUGGAGGAAUACCGAUGGCGAAGGCAGCCAUCUGGCCUAAUACUGACACUGAGGUGCGAAAGCAUGGGGAGCAAACAGG